CUCAUCACGGGAGCAGAGAAGACAUCCUGACGGCACGGUCACUGGCAGGGGAUGUUGGAGCCAAUAGUGAGACCGGCCCGUGCGGAC
Molecule: regulatory RNA element, 87 nt
Organism: Deinococcus deserti VCD115
Lineage: Bacteria; Thermotogati; Deinococcota; Deinococci; Deinococcales; Deinococcaceae
Rfam family: c-di-GMP-II-GAG riboswitch aptamer
Source: Rfam